RNAcentral lists this long non-coding RNA (452 nucleotides) under Apteryx owenii (little spotted kiwi). Its description in RNAcentral is "lncRNA (ENSAOWG00000005555.1)". The record is from RNAcentral. Lineage: Eukaryota; Metazoa; Chordata; Aves; Apterygiformes; Apterygidae.
ACUUGCAUGUUGCUGUCAACUGCAAGCCUGGAGGACUCAGAGCUGGAGAUCAGGAAGGAAAAUUUGGCCUUAGUGUGGCUCUCAAUGAGGUUAACAUCUUGGGAAUGACUGAUUCCUAUGGCUGGGUGAAGUGAAAGAAAGAAAUGCUGGAUUUCCAGGACUGACAUCACAAAUGCUCUGGCCCCAAUGCCAUCAACUCUGCCAGUCCCAUGGUCCUGCUACACUGAUGGAAAACAUCUAUGAUGCUCUAUGAAUUGAAGUGGCCAAAACUCUCUGUUGCAACCUUCAGAUUAAGUGCUGCUCAUAAAAUCUCCAAGAAAUACAAACUCUGGAGUAUGCUGCAAUGACUGAUUAACAGCUACUGUGGGCAAGGAACCGGAGACACCAUAUCCCAAAAUCUGCUGGCGCCUUUAUCAAUGCUGACCUGCUUGUAAGUGUUAACUGUCCUACUU